This 329-nucleotide ribosomal RNA is filed under the name uncultured Gammaproteobacteria bacterium. RNAcentral describes it as "bacterial SSU rRNA". It matches the Rfam family "Bacterial small subunit ribosomal RNA", at positions 83 to 412 of the family's 1533-position model. The record is from RNAcentral. Lineage: Bacteria; Pseudomonadati; Pseudomonadota; Gammaproteobacteria.
ACCUGCCGGCGAGCGGCGAACGGAUGAGUAAUGCAUAGGAACGUACCCAUGUGGUGGGGGAUAGCCCGGCGAAAGCCGGAUUAAUACCGCAUACGCCCUGAGGGGGAAAGCGGGGGAUUCUUCGGAACCUCGCGCCAUUGGAGCGGCCGAUGUCGGAUUAGCUAGUAGGUGGGGUAAAGGCUCACCUAGGCGACGAUCCGUAGCUGGUCUGAGAGGAUGAUCAGCCACACUGGGUCUGAGACACGGCCCAGACUCCUACGGGAGGCAGCAGUGGGGAAUUUUGGACAAUGGGCGAAAGCCUGAUCCAGCCAUGCCGCGUGAGUGAAGAA